RNAcentral lists this unclassified non-coding RNA (273 nucleotides) under uncultured fungus. RNAcentral describes it as "partial contains 18S rRNA, ITS1, 5.8S rRNA, ITS2 and 28S rRNA". Lineage: Eukaryota; Fungi. The record is from RNAcentral.
AAGGAUCAUUAUUGAAUAAACUUGGUCAAGCUGUUGCUGGUCCUUCGGGGCAUGUGCACGCUUGCCACCAAUUUUAACCACCUGUGCACCUUUUGUAGAUUGGAAACGUUUCUCGAGGCAACUCGGAUUGAGGACUGCUGUGCGCAAGCCAGCUGUUCUUGUGUUUCUCAAUCUAUGUUUUCAUAUACUCCUAAUGUAUGUAUCAGAAUGUAUUGUUAGGCCUCUGUGCCUUUAAAUCAAAUACAACUUUCAACAACGGAUCUCUUGGCUCUC